AUUGAACGUUGGCGGCAGGCCUAAAACAUGCAAGUCGAACGGAAACAGUGGAAGCUUGCUUCCAGCUGUCGAGUGGCGGACGGGUGAGUAAUACGCAGGAAUCUACCCAGUAGUGGGGGACAACCCGGGGAAACCCGGGCUAAUACCGCAUACGCUCUACGGAGGAAAGCGGGGGAUCUUCGGACCUCGCGCUAUCGGAGGAGCCUGCGUCGGAUUAGCUAGUUGGUGGGGUAAAGGCCUACCAAGGCGACGAUCCGUAGCUGGUCUGAGAGGACGAUCAGCCACACUGGAACUGAGACACGGUCCAGACUCCUACGGGAGGCAGCAGUUAGGAAUCUUGGGCAAUGGGC
Molecule: ribosomal RNA, 350 nt
Filed under: uncultured bacterium
Lineage: Bacteria
Description: bacterial SSU rRNA
Rfam family: Bacterial small subunit ribosomal RNA
Source: RNAcentral